This 70-nucleotide transfer RNA is filed under the name Cavia porcellus (domestic guinea pig). It matches the Rfam family "tRNA". Rfam says of the family: Transfer RNA (tRNA) molecules are approximately 80 nucleotides in length. Their secondary structure includes four short double-helical elements and three loops (D, anti-codon, and T loops). The record is from Rfam by way of RNAcentral. Lineage: Eukaryota; Metazoa; Chordata; Mammalia; Rodentia; Caviidae.
GGGGAUUUAGCUCAGUGGCAUAAGUGCCUGCCUUACAAGCAGGCGAUCCUGAGUUCGCCCCUGAUCCCUG